UACGGAGGGGCUAGCGUUGUUCGGAAUUACUGGCGUAAAGCGCACGUAGGCGGCUUUGUAAGUUAGAGGUGAAAGCCCAGGGCUUAACCCGUGGAACUUGCCUUUAAGACUGCAUCGCUAGAAUCGUGGAGAGGUAAGUGGAAUUCCGAGUGUAGAGGUGAAAUUCGUAGAUAUUCGGAAGAACACCAGUGGCGAAGGCGACUUACUGGACACGUAUUGACGCU
RNAcentral lists this ribosomal RNA (224 nucleotides) under uncultured bacterium. Its description in RNAcentral is "partial 16S ribosomal RNA". It matches the Rfam family "Bacterial small subunit ribosomal RNA", at positions 524 to 747 of the family's 1533-position model. The record is from RNAcentral.